UUUAAAUAAAUAAGAGUAUUUGGUGGAUGCCUUGG
This 35-nucleotide ribosomal RNA is filed under the name Mesomycoplasma hyopneumoniae. RNAcentral describes it as "Mycoplasma hyopneumoniae partial 23S ribosomal RNA". The record is from RNAcentral. Lineage: Bacteria; Bacillati; Mycoplasmatota; Mycoplasmoidales; Metamycoplasmataceae.